ACUGCAACCUCUGCCCGCCGGAUUCCAGCAAUUCUCCUGCCUCAGCCUCUGAGUGGCUGGGAUUACAGUGCCGCGUAUGAUGCUGUCCUUGACAGAAAUGUGGCCAUUAAGAAGCUCAGCAGACCCUUUCAGAACCAAACACAUGCCAAGAGAGCGUACCGGGAGCUGGUCCUCAUGAAGUGUGUGAACCAUAAAAACAUUAUUAGUUUAUUAAAUGUCUUCACACCCCAGAAAACGCUGGAGGAGUUCCAAGAUGUUGUCAUUGACUUUGUGCAAAGUCUACCCAGUAGUGACAACAGAUGGAGGAGAGGAAGUGAUUCCCUAGCACCUUGUCUUUAAUACAGAUACAUUGAAUUUAAUGGAAGAAGCUGUCCUUAAUUUUUUUCUUAUUUGAAAUUAUAAUACAAAAGAUUUGAGGGAAUGCAGAGGAAAGUGAAAGCAAAAUUAAGUUACUUAGUAAUGGAACUGAUGGAUGCCAACUUAUGUCAAGUGAUUCAGAUGGAAUUAGACCACGAGCGAAUGUCUUACCUGCUGUACCAAAUGUUGUGUGGCAUUAAGCACCUCCAUUCUGCUGGAAUUAUUCACAGGGAUUUAAAACCAAGUAACAUUGUAGUCAAGUCUGAUUGCACAUUGAAAAUCCUGGACUUUGGACUGGCCAGGACAGCAGGCACAAGCUUCAUGAUGACUCCAUAUGUGGUGACACGUUAUUACAGAGCCCCUGAGGUCAUCCUGGGGAUGGGCUACAAGGAGAACGGAGAGUAAAGAUAGAAGCAAAAAGUUGGGACUUCCUACCAACAACUAAGCAGUCAGAUAACCUCUCAAACUAUGACUAUCAGACACAAGGCUGAGGGCUGAUUCAAGUUAUUUAUCGGCAGAAGAAUUACACAAUUUUAAGCAUAUUGAAAUUACUCUAACAUUUAUUGGAAGAAAUAUCAAAGCUAAGUAUGUGCUAAUUGAUACCUUGACUACUUCCAAGACUCUGCAGAAAUUUCAAAAAACAAUCAGAGGUUCUCAUGUCUUUCACCUAGAAUUAUUCAGAGUAAUUUAUAUUAAAUUACUUUGAGGCUGAAAAG
Molecule: small RNA, 1073 nt
Filed under: Pongo abelii (Sumatran orangutan)
Lineage: Eukaryota; Metazoa; Chordata; Mammalia; Primates; Hominidae
Description: processed transcript
Source: RNAcentral